UACGGGGGGGGCAAGCGUUGUUCGGAAUUACUGGGCGUAAAGGGCUCGUAGGCGGCCAACUAAGUCAGACGUGAAAUCCCUCAGCUUAACUGGGGAACUGCGUCUGAUACUGGAUGGCUCGGAUUCGGGAGAGGAAUGCGGAAUUCCAGGUGUAGCGGUGAAAUGCGUAGAUAUCUGGAGGAACACCGGUGGCGAAGGCGGCAUUCUGGACCGACACUGACGCUCAUGCACGAAAGCGUGGGGAGCAAACAGG
RNAcentral lists this ribosomal RNA (253 nucleotides) under uncultured bacterium. RNAcentral's name for it is "partial 16S ribosomal RNA". It matches the Rfam family "Bacterial small subunit ribosomal RNA", at positions 524 to 776 of the family's 1533-position model. The record is from RNAcentral.